Molecule: long non-coding RNA, 1856 nt
Filed under: Malus domestica (apple)
Lineage: Eukaryota; Viridiplantae; Streptophyta; Magnoliopsida; Rosales; Rosaceae
Description: long non-coding RNA (MDOM_LNC015930)
Source: RNAcentral
GUUACAAGUAAACACACUCCCUUCUCUCCUGGUCGAGUUGCAUUUGUCAGGCUGCGAACUUUCUCACAUACCAAGUGGUAUUGCGAACUUGACAAGUCUUAAAGUUCUUGAUCUAUCCUCCAACUAUUUCAACUCUACCAUACCUCAAGUAAACACACUCCCUUCUCUCCUGGUCGAGUUGCAUUUGUCCUUCUGCGAACUUUAUCACAUGCCAAGUGGUAUUGCGAACUUGACAAGUCUUAAAGUUCUUGAUCUAUCCUGGAACCAAUUCAACUCUACCAUACCUCAAGUAAACACACUCCCUUCUCUCCUGGUCGAGUUGCAUUUGUCAAGAUGCGAACUUUAUCACAUACCAAGUGGUAUUGCGAACUUGACAAGUCUUAAAGUUCUUGAUCUGUCCUUGAACCAAUUCAGCGGAACCAUUACUCAUCAGUUGGGAAAUCUCUCGAGCCUGCGUUAUCUGGACCUUUCUUAUAACUAUGGUUGGAAGGUCGAGAAUCUCAAAUGGCUCUCUGGUCUUUCUCUGUUGAAACAUCUUGGCAUGAGUAAUAUAGAUCUUACCAGGGCAUCUCAUUGGUUACAAGUAAACACACUCCCUUCUCUCCUGGUCGAGUUGCAUUUGUCAAGCUGCGAACUUUAUCACAUACCAAGUGGUAUUCCGAACUUGACAAGUCUUAAAGUUCUUGAUCUACACGGUAACUAUCUCAACUCUGCCAUACCUACAUGGUUGUACAGUUUGAACCAUCUUGAGUCCCUUGAUCUUUCUUCCAAUGCUUUCCAUGGUGAAAUUUCGAGUUCCCUUGGAAACUUGACAGCCCUUGUUGAUCUUGAAUUAGGUUCUAAUCAGCUUGAAGGGGAAAUCCCAAACUCAUUGGGAAAUCUUUGUAAGUUGACUUCUUUUGAUCUAUCGUCAAACAAUUUUCGAGGGAGGGUAUCAGAAAUCUUUGAAAGUUUGUCUAGCUGUAGUUUUGGUCAAAUAUAUUCUUUACAGCUUUCAGAUAAUAAUUUUUCAGGUCAUUUAUCUGAUCAGUUGGGAAUUUUUAAAAAUUUACACCGCCUUGAUCUUUCAAAUAAUUCAAUAUCAGGUCUCAUUCCAGUGUCUUUAGGAAAUCUAUCACGCUUAGAGGAGUUGAUCAUUUCUAACAAUUUAUUCGAGGGCGUUGUCUCUGAAGCUCAUUUUACUAAUCUUACAAGAUUGGAUACCUUUUAUGCAAAUGAGAACUCCUUGACUCUUAAAACUAGCCCGGACUGGGUUCCUCCUUUUCAACUUUCUCUGUUGAGUUUAAGUUCUUGGCGCCUGGACCCAUCACAGUUGCCUGCAUGGCUUCAGAGUCAAAAACAUUUGCUCGCUCUUAAUAUGUCCAGUACAGGAAUUUCAGGUACCAUUCCGGCUUGGUUGUGGAACAUUUCUUCUGUUGAAAGCCAAGAAAUGGGAUAUGCAAGUAUCUUUGUGGAUCUCUCGCGUAAUCAAUUGUCCGGGGAGGUUCCAAAUAUAGCUUCUACCCAUUGGCAAAAACUGGAUUUUUAUUUGCAAACAGUUGACAUUUUUUUAGGAUCUAACCAAUUCAACGGUUCAUUGCCUCUUGUGUCUUCGGCAGUGUUUGUACUAGAUCUUUCCAAUUCAUCAUUUUCAGGAAGUCUCUCUCACUUUUUUUGUGAUACGAGUGAUGUACCUAAAUACCUUCGAGUUCUUCUUCUUGACAACAAUCACCUCACUGGAGAAAUUCCUGAUUGUUGGUUACACUGGCCAAACUUGACAGUAGUGAAUUUAGAAGACAACAAUUUGACAGGGAAAAUUCCAAGCUCUAUUGGAGACUUACUUCUCCUUCAGUCGUUGCACUUGCGCAAUAACAACC